CCCCCCCCCCAUUCUUCACUUUCCCCUUUCCCUUCUUCUACCUCCGACAAAAAUCGCUCCGUUUAUGUCUCCGCUUCCUUUCCCAACAUCAUCUUUCACCCAAACCCAUCAUUCCGUCGUUCUUCACUACGCAAAAUCGACGCUUCGUUUCCUUAGCGAUGCCUCGAGAAUCAAAUCGUCGCCGAAGGAUGGUACUUAUAUAUAGCAUGCCUCAGAUUUUCAUACCCAAAUCCCUAAUUUCCAAAUCACAGCAUCGGCUAAUCCCUUGGCGGCGAUUGGUCCGUACGCUACGAAAAUCUUUCGGCGUCACUGGAGGCGAAGGUCGUCGGCGUCAUCGGCGAAGGCUAAUUAUCACUAUUUUGCUAUCAUCGAUCAGGUAUUAGCCAGCAUUUUGUUAUUUUUUUAGGUUUUAUUUAUUAACAAAAUGCUAAUGAAAUUAAGAGAGCCAUAAUUCUGUUUUAGACCCUCCUAAAAAAAUAACAAAAUGCUGAUUAGCUGCGUAGUUCUAAUGACAUGCUAAUGAAAUUAAGAGAGCCAUAAUUCUGUUUUAGACCCUCCUAAGAAGUUUUGUUUUAAAAAUCAGCAUUUUGUUAUUUUGUUAGGUUUUAUUUAUUAAAAGAAGAGUAAUCCAUCGUUUAAAGUAGCUUUCAAUAAUUCUUAAUUUUAUCUGGAACUACCUACCUUCAGUAAGUCUCUCACUCAUUUCUUUCAUUAAUUAGGAGUACCAUGUUGAGGUUGUUUAUCAAGCAUAUUUUACUCUUCCCUUGUGUUUAAUAAUUUUCUAAGUAUUCCUUGAAACUUAUAUUUUACUCCAGACUAACUAUCACCAACAUGAACACGAAGUGGCUGAUAUAUAUUGGAAGUUCUUAUCUACGAAUUUAUUCAUAUGCAUGUGUUAUAUGUCUUGUGUUUAUGUAUCUGAGUACAUGUUUGUAUGGAUGCAUUUUGUAAUGUAUGCAUGCAUAUAUCUAUAUACAUAUGUACUUAUGCAUGCAUCUGUAUGAAUGUAUGUUGUACAUGUACAUAUUCAUAUAGCUUAUUCUUUUCCUUUCCCAUUUAGUUGGCUUAUCCUUGAUAUGAGAAAAUCUGGAGUUAGCAGUUUGUCUGGCAGGUUGGAACUUUGCUAUUUGUUAGGUGCUGUGGUUCAAAUUGUGUAAAUUAAUCAUAAACCAUUCUGAUGGCCUACUUAAAUACAUGUUUUGGGAGCAUGAGUAUAUGCAUGUAGGUACCUUUGAACAUAGUAUUUACAUGCAUAUAUGUAUGUUCCUGUGAGUAUACAUGUUGUAUGCAUGUAAUUUUUUUAUUCAUGCAUGCCUAUAUAUAUUUUUUAUUCAUGUAUGUAAUUUUUUUUAUUCAUGCAUGCCUAUAUAUAUUUUCAUAUAUAUAAUUUUUUUAUUCUUUCACGCAUCUAUAUAUUUUUUUAAGUGGUUCAUACCUAUGAAAUUUAUGCUACUUCCUUAGUGAUCCAGUUAUUUCGGUGGGAGAUUCAUUUUGGGCUUGAAACGGGAGAAACCUAUGCUCCUACUCCAUUUCCGUAUAUAUCAACAUAACAUUGUGAUGAUCAAGGCACCACAUAGAUGUGCGUGAGAAGUAAAGCAGUUUAUGGUUAUGUCUUGCAGGUUGAAGGUUGAUAAUAAUAGUUCAAUGUGAUAGAAUACUUCUCAUUGAAGUUUUAUCUAAAUCUUACUUUAGUGAUGACUUUUGGAGAUCUUUUUAGGGUAAAGUUAAAAGCAUCUGAACUAUGAAAUCAAUUCCUAAUCAAACUUAAUAAGCUGAUUGUUGACACCAUUUGACAUGCAAAGAAGUCAGUACUAAAAAUAGUUAUUCACUUUAGCAAAUUUUGGGCAUAUCAACAUGUAAGAAAAAGGGUAAAUUAUCAAACUUGAUGGUGUUUUAGUAUACCGUGUAGAGCUAAACCAGAUAGAUCGGUCAACCUAUCUGGUUCAUUUUGGAAAUGUAUUGUAUUUGACUUGGUACUCUACCUGCAUUUGACUUAUAUAAAUAUCAUUUCAAAUAAAUAACCUUGUCCAUCUCCCUGAGUCAACCUAUCUGAAUAGGAUUUUACUCUGCAACCAUGAGAUUUGUGUCCAUAUAGGCACAAAUUUGCCUAUAUAAUACAAGGAUUCUUUCUCCACUAUGUUAUGGUACCUGACACCCUAAAUACAGGACAAAUAUUACAAAAGUAUUGUGAUAAAAAAGCAUUAAAUGAUUAAUAUAUGUGUUAUAUGUUGUAUCUUCCAAGCUUCUUACUUUAAGCAUUGUGAAGUACCUUCAGAUUGUUGAGUUUCCUGAACAAGAAAUUUUUAUCUUCAAAGAUUACAGCAGGUUGUCAGAUUCAGUUGUUUAGCUUCAAAGGUAUGAUUUUACAUGUUAUAAUCUUUUAAUUGCAAUUUUCAUUCAAUGUAACAGAAGCUUCAUAAUAUUAUAAAUUUUUAAAACUUUAUAUAUUUUGAAAUUGCUGAUUCUAUUAGUCGCACGACUAUGAAACAAAGGUAUUAGCCAAUGUUACCAUUUUAAUUUUUGUUUUCUAAAUUUUCAUAUGCAUCACACAAGAUCCUAAUUUGGUUGUAAAGAAUCAAAACGACUAUAAGCAAGAGUAGUCGUCAGCAAUGAUGGAAUAUUGGUUGCGGGUUGUUCUUGCUGUAUUCUGGUUUUUUUCCUAUAUGUGUUGGAAGACUUUGCAAUUUUAAUAAUAUUACUUGAAGCCAGUUAGCAUGUAAAUAAAAUGAUACUGAGAGAAUAUUGUCAAUGACCCAUUAACAAUUCCUUGCAGCUUCUCAUUAUCGUUUUGACACUGUUCAUCAGUCAAUUCCAACAAUUUCUCCAAGGAGUAUGAAUCAAAUAAAUUUAAUUAAUUAAUUGAAAUAUGGUUUUAUUUCUUAAUGAAAAACUUAACCAUAGAUUAAUUAGAGACAUAGCUAUCUUAAUUACUCAAAUUUUAUUGAGUAGAUUAUUGAUCAUAUGUUGUCUUAGGAUUCUAAUCACAAAUACUAACAUAUAUUUUUUUUAUUUUUUUAGUGAUGGCGAUUGUGAAACGAACAGCAAGAAAAAGAACAUUAUCAUUCUGGAGAAGGGAUGAUCAUCAAAUUAGGCUCGCAUUCCCCUAUCGCAAACCUACCAAGCUAGAGUAUAUGACACAUAAGUUCAAAAGAAAUGAGACAACAGAUGAACACAUUUCAAAUAUGCGAAAUAUAUUAUUUAAUAUGGAAGUUCAAUGUGAGCCUGCAUUGAGUGAAAAAGAAAAAAUAGAUGGACUGGUCAAUUCCUUGCCGGAUGAGUUUGGCUUUAUUAAGUAUAGAUUGCUUAAUAAUUCUACUUUUGAUGAUGUUGUUCUCGAAAUGAGACUUAUUAACUUCGACUGGAAUUUUAAACGACAAUGUAGACGCACUGCAAUUUUGUAUUAUUUUACUACAUCAAUUAUUGUAUAUUAGACAAAUCUGUGCAUCGCACGGGCUUGAAACUAGUUUUAAUAUUAAAACUCAACUUUUUAGUC
Molecule: RNA transcript, 3493 nt
Organism: Asparagus officinalis (garden asparagus)
Lineage: Eukaryota; Viridiplantae; Streptophyta; Magnoliopsida; Asparagales; Asparagaceae
Exons: 3
Source: RefSeq, a predicted model, not a curated record